RNAcentral lists this ribosomal RNA (253 nucleotides) under uncultured bacterium. Its description in RNAcentral is "partial 16S ribosomal RNA". It matches the Rfam family "Bacterial small subunit ribosomal RNA", at positions 524 to 776 of the family's 1533-position model. The record is from RNAcentral.
UACGUAGGGUGCAAGCGUUAAUCGGAAUUACUGGACGUAAAGCGUGCGCAGGCGGUUUCGUAAGACAGAUGUGAAAUCCCCGGGCUUAACCUGGGAACUGCAUUUGUGACUGCGAGGCUAGAGUGUGUCAGAGGGAGGUGGAAUUCCGCGUGUAGCAGUGAAAUGCGUAGAGAUGCGGAGGAACACCGAUGGCGAAGGCAGCCUCCUGGGAUAACACUGACGCUCAUGCACGAAAGCGUGGGGAGCAAACAGG